This 500-nucleotide ribosomal RNA is filed under the name uncultured bacterium. Its description in RNAcentral is "partial 16S ribosomal RNA". It matches the Rfam family "Bacterial small subunit ribosomal RNA", at positions 899 to 1397 of the family's 1533-position model. The record is from RNAcentral.
ACUCAAAUGAAUUGACGGGGGCCCGCACAAGCGGUGGAGCAUGUGGUUUAAUUCGACGCAACGCGAAGAACCUUACCUACCCUUGACAUCCUCGGGAUCUGGUAGAGAUACUGGAGUGCCUACGGGAACCGAGAGACAGGUGCUGCAUGGCUGUCGUCAGCUCGUGUCGUGAGAUGUUGGGUUAAGUCCCGUAACGAGCGCAACCCUUAUUCUUAAUUGCCAGUGGGUAAAGCCAGGCACUUUAGGGAGACUGCCGGUGAUAAGCCGGAGGAAGGUGGGGACGACGUCAAGUCAUCAUGGCCCUUACGGGUAGGGCUACACACGUGCUACAAUGGACGGUACAGAGGGCAGCGAAGCCGCGAGGUGGAGCGAAUCUCACGAAAGCCGUUCGUAGUCCGGAUUGGAGUCUGCAACUCGACUCCAUGAAGUUGGAAUCGCUAGUAAUCGCGGAUCAGAACGCCGCGGUGAAUACGUUCUCGGGCCUUGCACACACCGCCCGU